AUGUUUCCAUAUGAACCUAGCCAAAUUGAACUACCUCCAAGAGAAUGGCAAAAAUUAAUUAAAGAAAGAAUACAUGAACUAAAAAAGCAAAAACGUGCAAAUAAAGAGAUACACAUACGCAAGGAUAAACUGGAAAAGGGAAAAGACCGGAAAACAACAAUAUACUCCGAAGUUGGUAUAAAUAUAAGCACUUCAAAUAGUAAAUUAUAUAUAUAUACAUGAGCAUAUGGAUAGACACUCAUAUACAUAUGUGUACAUAUUGAAAAAAAAAAAAAAAAAAAAAAAAGAGAUUUUUUUCUUAUUUAAUAACUAAACCACUAGCAACAACUUUGUUUUCUUCAGACAAAAUAAAACGAGAUAAGGGAGAAAUGGCCA
RNAcentral lists this long non-coding RNA (375 nucleotides) under Piliocolobus tephrosceles (Ugandan red Colobus). RNAcentral's name for it is "lncRNA (ENSPTEG00000024197.1)". Lineage: Eukaryota; Metazoa; Chordata; Mammalia; Primates; Cercopithecidae. The record is from RNAcentral.